This 482-nucleotide ribosomal RNA is filed under the name uncultured bacterium. RNAcentral describes it as "partial 16S ribosomal RNA". It matches the Rfam family "Bacterial small subunit ribosomal RNA", at positions 30 to 507 of the family's 1533-position model. The record is from RNAcentral.
AUUGAACGCUGGCGGCAUGCUUUACACAUGCAAGUCGAACGGUAACAGGCCGCAAGGUGCUGACGGGUGGCGAACGGGUGCGUAAUGCAUCGGAACGUGCCCAGUCGUGGGGGAUAACUACUCGAAAGAGUAGCUAAUACCGCAUACGAUCUAUGGAUGAAAGCGGGGGACCGUAAGGCCUCGCGCGAUUGGAGCGGCCGAUGUCAGAUUAGGUAGUUGGUGGGGUAAAGGCUCACCAAGCCAACGAUCUGUAGCUGGUCUGAGAGGACGACCAGCCACACUGGGACUGAGACACGGCCCAGACUCCUACGGGAGGCAGCAGUGGGGAAUUUUGGACAAUGGGCGCAAGCCUGAUCCAGCAAUGCCGCGUGCAGGAAGAAGGCCUUCGGGUUGUAAACUGCUUUUGUACGGAACGAAACGGCUCUGGUUAAUACCCGGGGCUAAUGACGGUACCGUAAGAAUAAGCACCGGCUAACUACGUG